GGAUUAGAUACCCUGGUAGUCCACGCCGUAAACGAUGUGUGCUAGCUGUUGGAUUUUUUAAAAUUCAGUGGCGCAGCUAACGCAUUAAGCACACCGCCUGGGGAGUACGGUCGCAAGAUUAAAACUCAAAGGAAUUGACGGGGACCCGCACAAGCGGUGGAGCAUGUUGUUUAAUUCGAAGCAACGCGAAGAACCUUACCCACACUUGACAUCCUUCUUGGGACUUUCAGAGAUGAUUGUCUUCGGUUCGGCCGGGGAAGUGACAGGUGCUGCAUGGCUGUCGUCAGCUCGUGCUG
Molecule: ribosomal RNA, 296 nt
Filed under: uncultured bacterium
Lineage: Bacteria
Description: partial 16S ribosomal RNA
Rfam family: Bacterial small subunit ribosomal RNA
Source: RNAcentral